Molecule: long non-coding RNA, 317 nt
Filed under: Brassica napus (rape)
Lineage: Eukaryota; Viridiplantae; Streptophyta; Magnoliopsida; Brassicales; Brassicaceae
Description: long non-coding RNA (BNAP_LNC013310)
Source: RNAcentral
CAAAUCUAUCCUAAGAUUAAUGCAUUCACUUGUUCAAUCAAGUAAUCUGGUGCUCAUCUAGCAGAGACCACAUGUAUUACCACAAAGAAAAUAGUGCUCUUUCACAAAUCUCUUUUUUACAUAAUUGCAGUCAUACUCUCUUUGUAUUUAUGUCAUUAUUUCCACAUUCAAGAGUCAAGAGUCAUAUGAACGCAGACUACAAGGAUCAUUUUAUAUCACCUAGUCCAAUUGACUCAUAAAAUGUGAAAGUUGAUACAUUUUUUUAGACAGCUAACCUUAUUUGCCUAAGUGAUAGAUCUCAGCCUUAGACUAUCAAC